GUAACGGCGAGUGAAGCGGCAACAGCUCAAAUUUGAAAUCUGGUCACCUUACGGAGGCCCGAGUUGUAAUUUGAAGAGGAUGCUUUUGGCGAGGUGCCUUCCGAGUGCCCUGGAACGGGACGCCACAGAGGGUGAGAGCCCCGUAUGGUUGGACACCGAGCCUAUGUAAAGCUCCUUCGACGAGUCGAGUAGUUUGGGAAUGCUGCUCAAAAUGGGAGGUAAACCCCUUCUAAAGCUAAAUAUUGGCCAGAGACCGAUAGCGCACAAGUAGAGUGAUCGAAAGAUGAAAAGCACUUUGAAAAGAGAGUUAAACAGCACGUGAAAUUGUUGAAAGGGAAGCGCUUGCGACCAGACUUGCGCCCGUCGGAUCAACCGUCGCUUGUCGGCGGCGCACUCCGGCGGGCUCAGGCCAGCAUCAGUUUUCCCGGGGGGAGAAAGGCGGUGGGAAUGUAGCUCCUAGGAGUGUUAUAGCCCGCCGCGUAAUACCCUCGGGGGGACUGAGGACCGCGCAUCUGCAAGGAU
Molecule: ribosomal RNA, 522 nt
Filed under: Doratomyces sp. SSR-2012a
Lineage: Eukaryota; Fungi; Ascomycota; Sordariomycetes; Microascales; Microascaceae
Description: eukaryotic LSU rRNA
Rfam family: Eukaryotic large subunit ribosomal RNA
Source: RNAcentral